This 205-nucleotide unclassified non-coding RNA is filed under the name soil metagenome. RNAcentral describes it as "partial contains 5.8S ribosomal RNA, internal transcribed spacer 2, and large subunit ribosomal RNA". The record is from RNAcentral.
AACGCACGAGACCUGCGGACCUGCGGAGGGAUCAUUAUAGAGUUUUUAACUCCCAAACCCAUGUGAACUUACCUUUGUUGCCUCGGCGGAGCCUACCCGGUACCUACCCUGUAGCGCCCCGCCGGUGGACUUCUAAACUAUUGUUAUUUUAAUGAUAUCUGAGAGUCUUAUUUUAAUAAGUCAAAACUUUCAACAAUGGAUCUCU